This 1907-nucleotide long non-coding RNA is filed under the name Drosophila guanche. The record is from RNAcentral. Lineage: Eukaryota; Metazoa; Arthropoda; Insecta; Diptera; Drosophilidae.
GCCAAUUUGCAAGCACAAAUUGGAGUUGCCCCCCCCCCUCCACUCGUCAUUAUAAUCCCCUUCAUAAUCGGUUAUAAGAAGUGCAACUCAAGGAUGCGGCAGCUGAAUGACCAGCACUCUUAUUGCUGCCAGCUCACAUCUUAUCAAAGGACAUGCAAAAGAAAUUGAAUGGCGGCCAUUUUGAGGGCGCUUUUGAUUGGUUGACGAUAUCGACCAAUACAGCAGAGCAGUCACAGGAGCAGGGGGGCAGCACAGCAGGCAGGCAGGCACAUGGCACACAGAGGGCGCAAUGGGAAGGGACAAUAAUCCAUUAUGUACAAAAUUUGAACAAGAAAUACGCACACACACACACACACACACACACUGUAUGUGGGGUUGGUCCAGAGGAUACACGAGAGGACAGAAGCGGCUGUCUGACGCGCACAGGCAGCAGGCAAAAACUAGAAAGUUCUCAUCGCAUCGCAGCAUCGCAGCAUCCCAUGGCAUCCCAUCGCAUCGCAUCGCGCUUUUGGUAAAUCAAAAAUAUUCUCUUUUCUUCUUGUUUUCCUCCUCGUUUCUUUUUUUUUUGCAGCAGUCAAAGGGAUUGGUGUGGCUGGGCGGUGGUGGCCGAGGGAGCCCUUGUCGACGCCAGCGAACGACAGCGACAAACGACAGCAACAACAACAAGUCACAAAGGACGAGGACGACAAACAAAAACAGAGCAAAGCAGAAAACUACAAAAAAAAAAGGAUGAAGGAUGGGUAGCACUUCCCUGCCAGCACAGAACUUACUAAUACAAGCACAAAGCACACAGCAACACACACACACACACUCGCGCAAUGAUAAAAGGGGAUGAACAGGGGAUGUUGUUCAAAGCAAAAGCGCCGCUCCCCAACCACCCUCUGCAGCAAGGGGAAAGAGCCAAGGAAAUUCAUCAAAACGCCAUUUGCAUAGCACUCCAUUACAGCGAAAAGAACAAAGAGAGGCACAAUUAAAAACGCUCGACACAGCCGAAAGCGGUGGGCAGAGACAGCGACAGCGACUGAGGUGCAGUAGGCGCCUCUAGGAGAAGGACAAGCAACGGCCACUUGAGGUCCAAGAGUCUCUCUCUCUCUCUCUCUACGCCUUCCUCGUGGCCAAAGGAAUCAACGCGGCGCCUCUUCAGGCGCAUCUUCUCUCCGCCACCGCCACCGCCCGUGUGGAGGCCCUAAACAUCAAAGAUCCACAAACACGACCUCAAUGGCUUAAUUGCUACUGGAAGAAUCUUCGGCAAAGGAGCGCAGCAGCCCAAGGAGAGGCACUAGCCUCUGUCUUAGCACUUAAGUCAAGCUACACACAAAGUCUGCUGCUUCCUUCUCCUCACUUUGUUUACGGCGGCAAUGCAUUGCAUAUUAUUAUCAAAUAUUUGUGCAAGUUGCUCACGAGUGUUUCACAUCAUUAUUUAUUGGUGGAAUUGGAUGAAUAAUUGGAUUAUUUCUUCUUGAAUCGGAGGGAAGAACUGUGGCAGAAGAGAGAUUGAGAGCCUAAAGGGCAUGUGUGCUAAGAUGCAUUCUGACCUUUAUGUAAAACAAGACACAAGCCAUGGUGCUGAGCGUUAAAUUCUCAUCUGGCUGCCACAAUCGAACCGAACACACGUCAGUGGUUCAAAUGCUAGUAAUGAUAAUUACAUAACAGCAUGUCCAGCAGCCGGCUUAGGAUUUUCGGACUGAACAACCUAUGAGAUAACUGAAAUAAGAUUGCCAAGUAUCCAAAGAGGAAAUUUAAUAAUUGUCUGCGAAAGACAAAUCUUAAAUAAAGUUAAAACACGACUCAAAAAAAAAAAUGUAAAACAAAUCAUAUUUUAUCUCCUUCUUCUGCGACGGUACUUUCCCUUUGGCAAACUUUUGGAUGUGUACCCCGACGGCAACAAGAAAGAAAGACUUUAAUUG